This 69-nucleotide transfer RNA is filed under the name Sphaenorhynchus cammaeus. RNAcentral's name for it is "tRNA-Val". It matches the Rfam family "tRNA". From Rfam's summary of the family: Transfer RNA (tRNA) molecules are approximately 80 nucleotides in length. Their secondary structure includes four short double-helical elements and three loops (D, anti-codon, and T loops). Further hydrogen bonds mediate the characteristic L-shaped molecular structure. tRNAs have two regions of fundamental functional importance: the anti-codon, which is responsible for specific mRNA codon recognition, and the 3' end, to which the tRNAs corresponding amino acid is attached (by aminoacyl-tRNA synthetases). tRNAs cope with the degeneracy of the genetic code in two manners: having more than one tRNA (with a specific anti-codon) for a particular amino acid; and 'wobble' base-pairing, i.e. permitting non-standard base-pairing at the 3rd anti-codon position. Lineage: Eukaryota; Metazoa; Chordata; Amphibia; Anura; Hylidae. The record is from RNAcentral.
CAAAAUGUAGCUUAAUUAAAGCAUCUCGCUUACACCGAGAAAAUAUCUGUGGGAUUCAGAUCAUUUUGA